GGUAAAAAAGCUCGUAGUUGGAUUUCUGUUGAGGGCGACCGGUCCAUACCAUGUAUGCGCAUCCGGUUCGGCCUCGGCAUCCUCUCGGAAGCCGUUUCUGCGCUUGAUUGCGUGGAGCGGGGUUCGGGACUUUUACUUUGAGGAAAUUAGAGUGUUCACGGCAGGCUAUCGCCAGAAUACAUUAGCAUGGAAUAAUAUUAUAGGACCUCGGUUCUAUUUUGUUGGUUCCUAGAAACGAGGUAAUGAUUAAUAGGGACAAUUGGGGGCAUUCGUAUCAACACGUCAGAGGUGGAAUUCUUGGAUUGUGUUGCGACGAACUACUGCGAAAGCAUUUGCCAAGGAUGUUUUCAUUGAUCAAGAACGAAAGUAAGGGGAUCGAAGACGAUUAGAUACCGUCGUAGUCUUUACCACAAACUAUGCCAACUAGAGAUGGGACAUCGUUCAUUUACGACUUGUUCCGCACCUUAUGAGAUAUCAAAGUUUUUGGGUUCCGGGGGGAGUAUGGUCGCAAGGCUGGAACUUAAAGGAAUUGACGGAAGGGCACCACCAGGAGUGGAGCCUGCGGCUUAAUUUGACUCAACACGGGGAAACUCACCAGGUCCAGACAUAAUAAGGAUUGACAGAUUGAUAGCUCUUUCUUGAUUUUAUGGGUGGUGGUGCAUGGCCGUUCUUAGUUCGUGGAGUGAUUUGUCUGCUUAAUUGCGUUAACGAA
Molecule: ribosomal RNA, 712 nt
Filed under: uncultured marine alveolate
Lineage: Eukaryota
Description: SSU rRNA
Rfam family: Eukaryotic small subunit ribosomal RNA
Source: RNAcentral